CUCUCUAUUUGCAGCUGGGAAAAAUCGUUUGGCUAAGGUCCUGAAAUCCCUUAUAUGCAAAAAAACAACGAAGGCAGAAUGCAUAGUUCCUGACGUUUUCCUUGCUAAGAAGUGACCUCUGCAAUUUGACAAAUAUUUUCUGAAAUUCAUUUUCAUUCUUUCCCUUGUUUUCUAUAUACAUUCUUAAAUUCUUCAAGCAUUAUAAAAUAAUAAAAUAAUUUUAGCAUCAA
This is a long non-coding RNA of Salvelinus fontinalis (brook trout), 230 nucleotides long. RefSeq lists it as uncharacterized. The transcript is spliced from 2 exons. Lineage: Eukaryota; Metazoa; Chordata; Actinopteri; Salmoniformes; Salmonidae. The record is from RefSeq and is a predicted model, not a curated record.